GGAGAGAUGGCUGAGUGGACUAAAGCGUCCGCCUCGAAAGCGGAUGUGCCCUUUCGGGCACCGCAGGUUCGAAUCCUGCUCUCUCCGCCA
RNAcentral lists this transfer RNA (90 nucleotides) under candidate division TA06 bacterium ADurb.Bin131. RNAcentral's name for it is "tRNA-Ser". It matches the Rfam family "tRNA". From Rfam's summary of the family: Transfer RNA (tRNA) molecules are approximately 80 nucleotides in length. RNAcentral also lists the same sequence under 1 other name. The record is from RNAcentral.